AACGUAGGAGGCAAGCGUUAUCCGGAUUUACUGGGCGUAAAGCGCGUGCAGGCGGUUCCCUAAGUGGGAUGUGAAAGCUCCUGGCUCAACUGGGAGAGGUCGUUCCAGACUGUGGGACUGGAGGAUGGUAGAGGGAGGUGGAAUUCCGGGUGUAGUGGUGAAAUGCGUAGAUAUCCGGAGGAACACCAGUGGCGAAAGCGGCCUCCUGGACCAUUUCUGACGCUCAGACGCGAAAGCGUGGGGAGCAAACAGG
This 253-nucleotide ribosomal RNA is filed under the name uncultured bacterium. Its description in RNAcentral is "partial 16S ribosomal RNA". It matches the Rfam family "Bacterial small subunit ribosomal RNA", at positions 524 to 776 of the family's 1533-position model. The record is from RNAcentral.